RNAcentral lists this long non-coding RNA (1503 nucleotides) under Equus caballus (horse). RNAcentral's name for it is "lncRNA (ENSECAG00000060182.1)". The record is from RNAcentral. Lineage: Eukaryota; Metazoa; Chordata; Mammalia; Perissodactyla; Equidae.
CUUCCACCAGAAUGUCAUCCCCAUGAUGGCAGGGACCAUGUCACAUUUUUAACCUUUGCAUUUUCAGCCUGAGGUAUGUGCUGGCAUGUAGAGCGCACUUAAGAAAUAUUUGUUGAAUCCCUCGAAACAUUAUUUCCUUCUAUCUCCAGUCUGCAUUCAAAGUGCCUCACUUCAAGCCCUCUCUUGCCAUCAGCCUGAAUCUCUGGGUUCGCCUGCCCUUGUGCCCACCAUUCUGCAAGAGCUGGGCUCAGAAUAAUCCUCCUGAAUUUGCCCCUCCUAUUACUGGAAUUCUGAGCACCACUGAGAAAAUACAACAACUGUGAAGGCCCACAUAGAAAGAAAUAAAGCAAAAAGAUUUCUUCAAGCAACAGGAAAACGAUCCUGGAUGGAGGCACAGUAGUGAAUGAAAGAAUGAAGAGCUCCAGGAAGAGAAAGAAGGCAAAUCUAAAUGAAUGUAGAUGUUUAAACCAAUGAUAGUAAUGUCUUGUGAGAUUUAAAAUAUAUAUAAACUGAAAACACAUAGCAAUAAUAGCAAAAAGGUGAAAGGUCGGUAAAUGGUUUUAAAGUAUUUUUAGGUCCUUUCACUGUCUGAGAGGUGCUAAAAUUGCUAACAUGUUAGACUCUAAUAAAUCAAAGUGUCUUUCAUACUACCUAGGGUACAUUAAAAGAGUAACCAAUAAUGUGCAAUCAAUAAGCUAAGAGGAGGAAAAUAGAAUGAUAAAAUAAUAGAUUAAUCCAAAAGAAAGCAAAAAAGAAAAAGCUGAUAAUACCAAAAAAUAUUAACAUGAUAGAUUUAACUGAAUCACAAUUUUAUUACAUGUAAAUGGUCUAGUAUUUCCAAUUAAAGUUCUAAGGUGCCUAGACUGUGUAAAAAUAAAAUAUUAACUAUAACAACCAGGAAACUUGAAAGUAAAAGGAUGGAAAAUGAUAUAUCAUGGAAACACUAACUAAAAGAAAAUUGCAGUAGCUAUACUAGUAACCAAAAAUAUUGACUUUAAGGUAGUGAGUAUUACUAGAAAUAAAAGGGACAGAUUUAUUUUUACAAAAGGUCAAUUCAGCAUGAAGAUAUUACAUUUCUAGAUUUGUGCAUAACUAAAAGCCUAGCCACAAACUAUAGAAAAACAAAAUAUUACCAGAAAUAAAAGAAGUAGAUAAAUGCAAUAAUGGGUGGAAAUUAUAUACAAAACUGAUAAAACAAGUGGAGACAAAUAUAUCAAUGAAAACAAAGACUCAAACUACACGAUCAACAAGUUUGAUUGUCAUAAUUACAUAAAUAAUACGCAAUUUUCUCAAGUACAGAGAGAAUAUUUACCAACUUUAUCCUUUGACUGGGCCAUAAAUCAAAUUACAGCAAAUCUUAGGGGAAAAAAGAUUGAAAUCAUAAGGAGUGUGAUUUUUUUGAUCUCAGUGGAAUUAAGCUGGAAACUAAUUUAAAGAAAACUAGAAAAUCGUCACCUAUUUGAAAACUAAACAAUGUAUUUCUAAAUAACUUAUGAGUUAAAG